RNAcentral lists this ribosomal RNA (113 nucleotides) under Circinella minor. RNAcentral describes it as "5.8S ribosomal RNA". It matches the Rfam family "5.8S ribosomal RNA", at positions 41 to 154 of the family's 154-position model. Rfam says of the family: 5.8S ribosomal RNA (5.8S rRNA) is a component of the large subunit of the eukaryotic ribosome. It is transcribed by RNA polymerase I as part of the 45S precursor that also contains 18S and 28S rRNA. The record is from RNAcentral. Lineage: Eukaryota; Fungi; Mucoromycota; Mucoromycetes; Mucorales; Lichtheimiaceae.
GAGCGUAGCAAAUUGCGAUAAUUAAUGCGAAUUGCAGACUUUGUGAAUCAUCGAGUUCUUGAACGCACCUUGCACCUAGUGGUUUAUUCUACUAGGUACGGUUGUUUCAGUAU